RNAcentral lists this ribosomal RNA (468 nucleotides) under uncultured bacterium. RNAcentral's name for it is "partial 16S ribosomal RNA". It matches the Rfam family "Bacterial small subunit ribosomal RNA", at positions 28 to 507 of the family's 1533-position model. The record is from RNAcentral.
GACGAACGCUGGCGGCGUGCUUAACACAUGCAAGUCGAACGGAAAGGCCCUGCUUUUGUGGGGUGCUCGAGUGGCGAACGGGUGAGUAACACGUGAGUAACCUGCCCUUGACUUUGGGAUAACUUCAGGAAACUGGGGCUAAUACCGGAUAGGAGCUCCUGCUGCAUGGUGGGGGGUGGAAAGUUUCGGCGGUUGGGGAUGGACUCGCGGCUUAUCAGCUUGUUGGUGGGGUAGUGGCUUACCACGGCUUUGACGGGUAGCCGGCCUGGGAGGGUGACCGGCCACAUGGGGACUGAGAUACGGCCCAGACUCCUACGGGAGGCAGCAGUGGGGAAUAUUGCACAAUGGGCGGAAGCCUGAUGCAGCAACGCCGCGUGCGGGAUGACGGCCUUCGGGUUGUAACCCGUUUUCGCCUGUGACGAAGCGUGAGUGACGGUAAUGGGUAAAGAAGCACCGGCUAACUACGUG